This 379-nucleotide ribosomal RNA is filed under the name uncultured cyanobacterium. Its description in RNAcentral is "bacterial SSU rRNA". It matches the Rfam family "Bacterial small subunit ribosomal RNA", at positions 376 to 770 of the family's 1533-position model. Lineage: Bacteria; Bacillati; Cyanobacteriota. The record is from RNAcentral.
CGCAAGCCUGACGGAGCAAUACCGCGUGAGGGAGGAAGGCCUUUGGGUUGUAAACCUCUUUUCUUAAGGAAGAAGCUCUGACGGUACUUAAGGAAUCAGCAUCGGCUAACUCCGUGCCAGCAGCCGCGGUAAUACGGAGGAUGCAAGCGUUAUCCGGAAUUAUUGGGCGUAAAGCGUCCGUAGGCGGCAUUAUAAGUCUGCUGUCAAAGACCGCAGCUCAACUGCGGAGAGGCAGUGGAAACUGUAAAGCUAGAGUCUGGUAGGGGUAGAGGGAAUUCCCAGUGUAGCGGUGAAAUGCGUAGAGAUUGGGAAGAACACCAGUGGCGAAAGCGCUCUGCUGGGCCAGAACUGACGCUGAGGGACGAAAGCUAGGGGAGCG